GAUGAAGAACGCAGCGAAAUGCGAUAAGUAAUGUGAAUUGCAGAAUUCAGUGAAUCAUCGAAUCUUUGAACGCACCUUGCGCUCCUUGGUAUUCCGAGGAGCAUGCCUGUUUGAGUGUCAUGAAUAUCUCAAUCCUGGAUUUUCUUUGUAAGAUCCAGGACUUGGACUUGGAGGCUGCUGGCGUCUGUCAGCUCCUCUCUAAAUACAUUAGCAGAGUCUUUCAAGAUGCUGCCUUGGUGUGAUAAUUGUCUACACCAUGUGUAUGCGUCUUGCUAGUUGCUACCCCGCUUGAACAAGGCGGUUGUGUGGCUGGGACGAAGCUUCUAACUGUCUGUAAAGACAACAUCUGACAUCUGACCUCAAAUCAGGUAGGAUUACCCGCUGAACUUAAGCAUAUCAAUAAGCGGAGGAA
RNAcentral lists this unclassified non-coding RNA (412 nucleotides) under soil metagenome. Its description in RNAcentral is "partial contains 5.8S ribosomal RNA, internal transcribed spacer 2, and large subunit ribosomal RNA". The stretch from base 1 to 120 matches the Rfam family "5.8S ribosomal RNA", at positions 35 to 154 of the family's 154-position model. The record is from RNAcentral.